ACUCGCGGUCCGCAGGAUGACUCAGGGCAGCCCUGACCACAGUUCCGCCGCCAUCGGCCCUAGCCUGCGGAAUUGGGCUCGCCCCGGGACGAUAACAGAGCUCUGCCGGGGGCUGGAGGCACUGACCGGGUGACCAGAGACCCAGAGACCAGAGCCCCUCCACGGCGCCCGGGAUUUCGGGGACGGCUUCUCCCAUCGCAAGUAGGGCUUGGACGGGAGGCGACAAACGAGAACUUGGUCCGCACACAGCCACCGAAAUUGGAAUGAGGAGCUGUAGGGAGGCCCCGUAGCCAGCAGAAAAGCACUGGGGUCCCUGGCUGGGUUAGCCCAGGUUUCUAGGAGUGUGGUAAGCGUCGAAUGACUUUUGUCCUUUUAAAGCACAUUAUGUUACUUUUUCCCCAAGGUUUCAACAGAAAAUGAGAAAUAUCCCCCGACGAUUGGCUGAAAACAUGCAGCAACCACUAUUUUCUUCCUGCCCCUCGUUGAUGAGAGCAUUCGAAGUGACCUCAGCAGGGCAUCCAGGUCAGUUUCUGGAAGACUUGUGAGUGUGGUGAAUGAAUAUCUGGUUUUGUCUCUGCUGGGCCUGUGUGCCUGGAAAGGAAUUGUUUUGGCCUAGGAUCAUCCAGAUCAAUUAUGCAGCUACAGCCAAAACCAAGUUCUUUUUAUUGCAAUGGUAAUGAAAGGAGCCCCGUGUAAGUCACUGGAAGGUCACAUGUUCACAGACUGUCAGCUGUGGAGGGUUAUGUAACAGUGGUUAUGCAAUGCCACGUUAGAACUACAGCCCGAGCAGCAAAACAUUUAGAUA
This 805-nucleotide small RNA is filed under the name Pan troglodytes (chimpanzee). RNAcentral's name for it is "processed transcript". Lineage: Eukaryota; Metazoa; Chordata; Mammalia; Primates; Hominidae. The record is from RNAcentral.